CCAGCAGCCGCGGUAAUUCCAGCUCCAAUAGCGUAUAUUUAAGUUGUUGCAGUUAAAAAGCUCGUAGUCGGACUUUGGGCGCGGUGGACCGGUCCGCCGUUUCGGUGUGCACUGGUCUGCGGCGCCUUUUUUGUCGAGGACGCGCCUCUUGCCUUGAUUGGCGGGAGCGCGGAGUCGGCGCGGUUACUUUGAAAAAAUUAGAGUGUUCAAAGCGGGCGUUCGCUUGAAUAUAUUAGCAUGGAAUAACACUAUAGGACUCUGGUCCUAUUUUGUUGGUCUUCGGGACCGGAGUAAUGAUUAAGAGGAACAGUCGGGGGCAUUCGUAUUUCCUUGUCAGAGGUGAAAUUCUUGGAUCGGGGGAAG
Molecule: ribosomal RNA, 363 nt
Filed under: uncultured eukaryote
Lineage: Eukaryota
Description: SSU rRNA
Rfam family: Eukaryotic small subunit ribosomal RNA
Source: RNAcentral